Molecule: non-coding RNA, 72 nt
Organism: Bos taurus (domestic cattle)
Lineage: Eukaryota; Metazoa; Chordata; Mammalia; Artiodactyla; Bovidae
Source: Rfam
UCCCUGGUGGCUUAGACGGUAAAGCGUCUGUCUACAACGCGGGAGACCUGGGUUCGAUCCCUGGGUGGGGAA